RNAcentral lists this ribosomal RNA (400 nucleotides) under phytoplankton environmental sample. Its description in RNAcentral is "partial small subunit ribosomal RNA". It matches the Rfam family "Eukaryotic small subunit ribosomal RNA", at positions 587 to 988 of the family's 1831-position model. The record is from RNAcentral.
AGCUCCAGUAGCGUAUAUUAAAGCUGUUGCAGUUAAAAAGCUCGUAGUUGGAUCUUGGGCUCAGGCCUGCGGUCCGCCGUGAGGCGUGUCACUGCAGCCGUCCUGGCCUUCCUCUCGGUUAUCGCCCGGUGCUCUUAACUGAGUGCCAGGAGAGGCCGGAACGUUUACUUUGAAAAAAUUGGAGUGUUCAAAGCAGGCCUCGCGCCUGAACAGCAGAGCAUGGAAUAAUGGAAUAGGACCUCGGUUCUAUUGCGUUGGUUUUCGGAACUCGAGGUAAUGAUUAAGAGGGACUGACGGGGGCAUUCGUAUUGCGGUGUGAGAGGUGAAAUUCUUGGAUCGCCGCAAGACGACCGACUGCGAAAGCAUUUGCCAAGAAUGUUUUCAUUAAUCAAGAACGAAA